RNAcentral lists this unclassified non-coding RNA (2786 nucleotides) under Hevea brasiliensis (rubber tree). The record is from RNAcentral. Lineage: Eukaryota; Viridiplantae; Streptophyta; Magnoliopsida; Malpighiales; Euphorbiaceae.
ACUUGCUGAUUUUGGUGUUGCAACUAAAUUAACGGAGGCAGAUGUUAAUACGCAUUCAGUUGUUGGAACACCAUACUGGAUGGCACCUGAGGUGAUUGAAAUGUCAGGAGUAUGUGCUGCGUCUGACAUCUGGAGUGUUGGCUGUACAGUUAUAGAACUGCUUACUUGUUUACCUCCGUACUAUGAUCUUCAGCCCAUGCCUGCUCUCUUUCGGAUUGUGCAGGAUGAUCAUCCCCCAAUUCCAGAUAGCCUCUCUCCUGCUAUCACUGAUUUUCUCCGCCAGUGUUUUAAGAAGGAUGCUAGACAAAGGCCUGAUGCUAAGACACUGCUUUCACAUCCUUGGAUACAAAAUUCAAGGCGUGCUUUGCAGUCCUCACUCCGUCAUAGUGGGACAAUAAGAGAUAUAGAAGAAGACGGAUCGGCUAUCAGAGAGGCAUCAAAUGAAGAGGACAAGGGUGCUGCUGGAAGCUCUUCUUCUGACAAAGCAAAAGAGUCUAGCACAACAUUGGCAUCACCAGAAGUCCUGGAGACUAGCAAGUCGGAAGAGGUUGAUGGUUCAAGUAGUAUUCGUAUAGAAGGAAGAACUGAUAAGAUUGAAGAUCAAUUUAUGUCAGAUCCAGUUCCAACUUUAGCAAUUCAUGAGAAGUCUCCUAUUCAAAACAAUACUGAUGGAUUAGCUGUGAAUAAGGAAUCAGCACUUCAAAGUUCAACAGACUUGAGUGAGCCUGAUAAAGUUUUUGCAAAUGGUGAGCUUGAAUCUAGUGAAUCCAGGGGUCGGAACACUGUAGGUAGGAAGGUUGAAGAUAAAGGACAUGGCGUCAAUGCAUAUUCUGCAUCAUCCAGUUCUGGACAAAAGAACACAGAUUAUAGUCCUAGAAAGGCUGUGAAGACAUCAGUUGUUCCGCAAGGAAAUGAACUGAGCAGAUUCAGUGACCCCCCUGGUGAUGCUUCCUUGGAUGACCUGUUUCAUCCAUUGGAGAAGAACCUGGAGAAUCGCGCUGCUGAGGUGUCUCUCUCUGCAUCAUCUUCACAAAUUGCUCAAAAUAAUGCAAUUGCCGAAACUGGAAAGAACGAUUUGGCAACAAAGUUGAGAGCCACAAUUGCUAAGAAACAAAUGGAAAGUGAAUCAGGACCACCAAAUGGUGGUGAUUUACUCAGUAUCAUGAUGGGUGUGUUGAAGGAGGAUGUAAUAGACAUGGAUGGUUUAGGCUUUGAUGAUAAACUACCGACAGAAAAUUUGUUUCACCUUCAGGCUGUAGAAUUCAGCAAGUUAGUAUCAUCUUUAAGAACAGAUGAAUCAGAAGAUGUUAUUGUAUCAGCUUGUCAGAAGUUGAUUGCUUUCUUCCAUCAGCGGCCGGACCAGAAACUUGUUUUUGUCACCCAGCAUGGUUUGCUUCCUCUGAUGGAGUUACUUGAGGUUCCCAAAACUCGUGUCAUGUGUUCAGUGCUGCAGGUACUGAACCUGAUUGUUCAAGAUAACACAGAUUCCCAAGAAAAUGCUUGUCUCGUUGGCCUUAUCCCUGUUGUGAUGAGUUUUGCUGCGCCUGAUCGUCCCCGAGAAAUUCGUAUGGAAGCAGCUUACUUCUUUCAGCAGCUAUGUCAGUCGAGUCCCUUGACGCUGCAAAUGUUUAUUGCUAAUCGUGGAAUACCUGUUCUUGUGGGAUUUUUAGAAGCUGACUAUGCCAAAUAUAGGGAAAUGGUUCACAUGGCUAUAGAUGGCAUGUGGCAGGUGUUUAAGCUUCAGCGGUCUACCUCUAGAAAUGAUUUUUGCCGUAUAGCUGCUAAAAAUGGAAUUCUGCUGAGGCUCAUCAACACUCUUUACAGCUUGAAUGAAGCAGCUCGUUUAGCUUCUGCAUCUGGUGGAGGUGGGUUCCCACCUGAUGGAUUGGCUCCCCGACCACGGUCUGGGCCACUGGACCAUGGGAAUUCUUCAUUUAUGCAGACUGAAGUGCCCCCUUAUGGAACUGAUCAGCCAGAUAUGCUUAAAAUUAAGAAUGGAGAUCGUGUUUUGCCAUCUGGAAUUCCGGAACCUUCACGUAAUUCAGCUUCACAUUCACCAGAUUCUCCGUUUUUUCGACAAGAUGGUGAGAGACCUCGGUCAAGUAAUGCUACAGUGGAAGCUUCUGGUCUGUCAAGAUUGCCAGAUGGAAAUUUAGUAACAAAAGAUCGGGAAAGCUUAGACAGAUACAAAAAUGAUCUCUUUCGAGCUGAGAUUGACCUUAGACAGCAAAGAGGUGGCAAUACAAGUAGAAUAUCAACUGAUAAGGGAUCAAAACAGAUGGAAGGGGCAUCAUAUGGGUUUCCUGCUUCAACAGCUUCUCAGCAAGAGAAUGUUCGGCCCCUUCUUAGUUUGUUGGAGAAGGAGCCCCCAUCUCGCCAUUUCUCGGGUCAGCUUGAAUAUCACAAUCUUCCUGGACUGGAGAAGCAUGAAAGUAUACUCCCUCUUCUGCAUGCAUCUAAUGAAAAGAAAACCAACGGAUUGGAUUUUUUGAUGGCUGAAUUUGCAGAGGUUUCUGGACGUGGAAGGGAAAAUACUAACCUGGAGUCAUUACCAAGAAGUCCACAUAAAGCUGCCACUAAGAAAGUUGGAGGGGCAGCUUCUACUGAUGGAAUUGCUUCAACUUCUGGAUUUGCAUCACAGACUGCAUCAGGUGUAUUGUCCGGUUCUGGAGUGUUAAAUGCUAGACCAGGAAGUGCAGCAUCAUCUGGAAUACUUUCACACGUUGCUCCCCCCUGGAAUGCUGAUGUUGCAAGGGAAUACUUGGAAAAGGUGGCAGACCUUCUGC